Scylla paramamosain (green mud crab) is the source of this 2663-nucleotide long non-coding RNA. RefSeq lists it as uncharacterized. The transcript is spliced from 3 exons. Lineage: Eukaryota; Metazoa; Arthropoda; Malacostraca; Decapoda; Portunidae. The record is from RefSeq and is a predicted model, not a curated record.
GAACAAAGGUAGACAUCUUCCCUUGCGGAGUGGGAGUUGAUAAUAUUGUUAUUCUAUCUCUACUCUUUGCUGAGCCAGAACACUAGUGACUUGAGCUAUAACACCAUUCCAGAGGAUAAGGAUAGGUGCUUCGUAUGUUUUUUUUUUUUUUUCUCUCUCUACUUAUUAUUAUUAUUAUUAUUUUUUUUUUUUUCAUGAUUCUAGUUCAAAUAACAAAAGAAAAACGACUAAAAGAAUACUACCGUAGGAUCUUUCCCUUUAAGAAAAGGUACUUUAUUUUUCUUAAAUAUAUGCUUCCAAAUUAUAGGUGCUUAUACUUCAGUACGUGUUUUAUGGAGAGAAAUAUCUACCUAGUAAUCUUUUUCAUAAUUUUCUAGUGAAAUACACCAUCUGGCAACAUAGCGUCACCACGAGAGCAAGGAGAACAGCUGAACCUCCCUCUCUGCUCCCGUCGCCGCUGCAGGCGAGACGAUGGUCUACACGUGCUGCAGUCAUACAUCCUCUUCGUGCAUUCCCCGAGCAUCACCUGCCCUAUAGUACACCAUGAUGGGCUCCUAGUACACCUAGGCUCCUAGGCAACACGUGCAUAGGGUGAGGGUGCCAAGCUGCCUCCGUCGAACCCAGGAAGGGCCGUGGAAGAGGAGCGUGGCACUGAAGAGCUGAGGGGUGUAUGUAUGUGCUGGUGUGAGCAAGGAAGGAUAUAAGAUUGACACACCUGCGCUGACCGACUGGGAUAUUGAUGGCAAGUGCUGAGAUGGGAAGCCUCAGCAGCACCAGGAGUCAUUGCUGCUCUCCUGUGCAUUCGUUUUAAAGGACGUCAGGUGUAGGACAUGAGAUGGGACCAAGAGAAGGCAGCAGUGGGGACCUACACUUCAGACCUCUUGUAGAAAGGGUGUGAGGGUGUUUCCAGGGUGACUGCUUAAUGGAAUGGUGCAGGAGUGUUCUGUGGGGCCAUGUAUGCUAGAGUGACCACUUAAAAGGUGUGUAAGGGUGAUUCUUGGCAUUGUAUUCUAGGAUGAUUGCUCAGAAAGAGUGUAAGAGUGUUUCCAUGUAAUGAUUCACUUGAUCAGGGUGAGGGUGAGCUGUGGGUGAUAAUGCAAGUGUGAUGGUAGUGUGAGGAGAUGAAUGUGGAGUGUUUGGGGAGAGAUUCACUUGUAAAGGAGGGCUGGACAACACACACUCGCCCUCAUUGGCUGUGGAAGAGUGUGGGAGUGUGUGGAGAGGUGUGGCCACCAGGGCAGGCUUGACACACAUCUGCUGUCCAUGCUGGGAGAGAGGCUGUAGUGGUGGUGGUGGUGAGGGAGAGGUGCCUGGAUCUGACAUGUGAUCUGCUGUCUUCAGACCACAGUUCAGGGUAAACCUUUUCCCUCAUUGCUGCCACUCAAAGUUUCUCUCACCAGUGUGGGUGAGCAUGUGUCCGUCAACAACACCUCGGUGGGCAGAGUUCUUCCCACACUCUUCACACCAUGCUUCUUCUCACCAGUGUGGACGAGUGUGUGUCUCUGUCUGUGCUGGGUGCCUCCACACCCACAGUUCGUGACGCCACGCUGGCCGAGGAGGUGCCAGAUCAAGACGUCUCUUCUGGGUAAACUUUUUUGGGUGAAAAAGUUCAAUGAGAAAGUUCCGUGCUGAUGUGCGUCUCCUCUACCGCCGUGGUGUGGCAGCAGUGGAGUGUGGUGGUGUGGUGCUCCAAUUUACUUAGUGAUAGACUCACUCUCACUAUUAUGAUGGGAAAAAACAUGUGGGUGAAGAGUGUGGGAAGAAAUCCGCCCACCGAGGUGUUGUUAACAAACACAUGCUCACCCACACUGGUGAGAGAAACUUUGAGUGACAGGAGUGUGAGGAAAGGUUUACCCGGAACGGUGCCCUGCUUGUCUGGUCCGGCCAGCAGCACACCCUCAAGACACAUUCACACUGGGCUUCGUGUUGUGCUGUGUGCUGCACUGCACCUAGAGUUUUAUUAUGUGGAAUGAGCAAGGCAACAUGCCACACAUCACAGUCAAGUCUGGACUGUGGGCAUUUGGUGACAUGCCGUGUUGUGCAGCAAGAUUCUGUAUUUCCACCUUCCUAUGACGAAUUCCUUCAAGAGGGAGGUUUCAAGACACUUAUCCACCAAUUUUUGACCACUGCUUUGACCCUUUUAGGGACUGGCAUUUCAGUGGGCAUUUUUUUUUAUUAGAUUUUUGUUGCCCUUGGCCAGUAUCCUUCCUACAUAAAAAAAAAAAAAAAAAAGAACGUGCCUUGAGAGGUGUGGGGCGGCCAGGCCUGUGUGGACUUAACUCGGUAGACUGCACUGGAGGCUAAGGGAGCAGUGCAGGGUGUCAUGAUAGUACUGACACAAUAACAGGCUGUUAUGGAAGACAAUAGGGUGUUCAAGACUUGUGGGGAUUCCUGUGGGUUUAACAGGUUCUAAUAGAAGUUAGUAACAUUUUCAAGGAUGAAGAUCAGCUAUCAUCCCCAUCCAUAAAUUAGUGUUAAAAAAAAAAGCUCCUUAAGGACUGCACUAACGAGUUCCUUCCUGGCACACCUGUCCUCACCUACACUAGUGAAAAAAGGUGUUGUAUUGUGUAUUGUAUGUUACUGCCUGGGCCUGGGAGAAGCAGUGAACUUAAAACUGGCUUGAGCAAAUGUGAACCUAUGAUAUAAUAAAAAGAUGAAAAUUA